Molecule: long non-coding RNA, 1661 nt
Organism: Oncorhynchus keta (chum salmon)
Lineage: Eukaryota; Metazoa; Chordata; Actinopteri; Salmoniformes; Salmonidae
Exons: 2
Source: RefSeq, a predicted model, not a curated record
CGGACUUAACUCACUUUAAAAAGUCAUGUGUACAUUUUCCGUUUGUAUUUUGUGAUUUUCAUCAUUCUUUGGUCGAGUUUGUUUUUCUUCAUGCGUCUUUGUCGAUUGUAGGCCUGAUGUAGGCUAUUAUACAUUUGAUUUCAAUGCCUGUGUAGGAUUUAUCUGUCGUAGUUGGUAUUAGUGGUCAGCUGUUUUAUACACUGGUUCCUUUCACCUUGAUGUCCGCAUUUGAAGUUGGGAUGGUUGUGACUUGAUAGCGUGUAUUAUGCAUCUAUUUCAUGUUCACAGUUUGCGCGAUUCCACAAGUAAAUUAGUCAAUUCAUGAUAAGGUUGAGUAGUGGUUGACAUUGUAGCCUACACGCAGUUCCACAUUCCUUUACAACAAAUAUUGCAAUGAUAAUUAAUGCCUGGGGUAAUUUGUAUUAGUUUUAGCUGUUCUCCAAAAUACCAUUUUAGAGUUGAAAAAUUAAGUAUAAAUGCAGUAAAUGAGCUUCAACCAUAGGUUUAGCAGAACUAAUGCAACUAGUACAGUAGCAUACAGUCAUUGUACAGUAGGCUAUUCCCAUUUCCGGGUUAUGAGACAGACAGCGUGGUAGGCAGCAUCACAGGCUGGAAGUGUUUGGUUUGAUGAAAUCAGGAAGUUGACGUUUUUCCUUUGCAUUCCGUGGUUGUGAGUGUUCCUUCGGCUAUUUUGUCUUCGAUUAAACUUUCACUUGUGGAUGUACCGAAGUUUAGCCUGUUCAAUGCUUUAGAAGCGCAAAAUCAGUACCAUUCGACAGUGCUUGAACACUGCGGAGAAUGCGCCCAUCUCUGACCAGUUUCUUCCACCACAGCAGUGACUCAGACUGGGACCAGUCCCACUGACCACCACCACCCUGUGCUGGUGCUCGUUCAGUCCUGCCCUGCUGUGGAGGAGGAGGCAUGUCCUACUGGUCAGUCGGCCUCUCCAAGGCCACUGGAGACACACAGAGCAACAACAUGGAGGAACAAGAGAAACACCAUCUUGAACAAGAUGGUGAGAGAAUUCACUUUUACUGUGUUGUACUUAUCUCAGUCUUUCCCUUAUUCCUUACAUUGGAGGAGAAUGUCCAAUGUCCCAUCAGACCUUUAGAGAAGGAUAUGAGUAGAAGGAAUCAAGGAAAGAUGGCGUGAUAAUGAGCCAUAGGCUGGUUAAUGUGUUUUCCUUGGUUGUGGUUUUAGUACUGGAACAUUCUUUGUGUGUCUGUGUUUCCAGUUCAACCCUCUGCCAAAGUCCUGUGUCACUGUGUCUUGUUGCAGUUCAACCCUCUGCCAAAGUCCUGUGUCACUGUGUCUUGUUGCAGUUCAACCCUCUGCCAAAGUCCUGUGUCACUGUGUCUUGUUGCAGUUCAACCCUCUGCCAAAGUCCUGUGUCACUGUGUCUUGUUGCAGUUCAACCCUCUGCCAAAGUCCUGUGUCACUGUGUCUUGUUGCAGUUCAACCCUCUGCCAAAGUCCUGUGUCACUGUGUCUUGUUGCAGUUCUGCUGACACUGUGACCAGUGUGGCGCUCAGGCUACUGGUGAAACAUAAAGAUACUGUAUCAAUUAGGGUGUGUGUGUGUGUGUGUGUGUGUGUGUGUGUGUGUGUGUGUGUGUGUGUGUGUGUGUGUGUGUGUGUGUGUGUGUGUGUGUGUGUGUGUGUG